This 72-nucleotide transfer RNA is filed under the name Camelus bactrianus (Bactrian camel). It matches the Rfam family "tRNA". From Rfam's summary of the family: Transfer RNA (tRNA) molecules are approximately 80 nucleotides in length. Lineage: Eukaryota; Metazoa; Chordata; Mammalia; Artiodactyla; Camelidae. The record is from Rfam by way of RNAcentral. RNAcentral also lists the same sequence under 1 other name.
GUGGGCAUAGCUCAGUAGUAGAGUAUAUGCUUACCAUGCAGGAGGUCCUGGGUUCAAUCCCCAAUCCCUCCA